GCACUAAUGGGGGAAACCCUGAUGCAGCCAUGCCGCGGUGUGUGAAGAAGGCCUUCGGGUUGUAAAGCACUUUCAGUAGGGAGGAAGGUAGUGUAGUUAACACCUGCAUUAUUUGACGUUACCUACAGAAGAAGCACCGGCUAACUCCGUGCCAGCAGCCGCGGUAAUACGGAGGGUGCGAGCGUUAAUCGGAAUUACUGGGCGUAAAGCGCAUGCAGGCGGCCUGUUAAGUCAGAUGUGAAAGCCCGGGGCUUAACCUCGGAAUUGCAUUUGAAACUGGCAGGCUAGAGUCUUGUAGAGGGGGUAGGAAUUUCAGGUGUAGCGGUGAAAUGCGUAGAGAUCUGAAGGAAUACCAGUGGCGAAGGCGGCCCCCUGGACAAAGACUGACGCUCAGAUGCGAAAGCGUGGGGAGCAAACAGGAUUAGAUACCCUGGUAG
RNAcentral lists this ribosomal RNA (437 nucleotides) under uncultured bacterium. Its description in RNAcentral is "bacterial SSU rRNA". It matches the Rfam family "Bacterial small subunit ribosomal RNA", at positions 366 to 793 of the family's 1533-position model. The record is from RNAcentral.